Molecule: small nucleolar RNA, 138 nt
Filed under: Ornithorhynchus anatinus (platypus)
Lineage: Eukaryota; Metazoa; Chordata; Mammalia; Monotremata; Ornithorhynchidae
Source: RNAcentral
GACCUCUCAUGGUCGCAGUUGGAGAGUUUCCAGUACUCUACCAGUCUUGGGUACGGGAGGAAGAGUCAAGCAGAGGCCUAUCCAUUCCAUUCCUAGCUUGGGCAGUGGCUAGUGAGUGUAAGGCAAUCUGCUACAAGU